RNAcentral lists this transfer RNA (76 nucleotides) under Camelus bactrianus (Bactrian camel). It matches the Rfam family "tRNA". From Rfam's summary of the family: Transfer RNA (tRNA) molecules are approximately 80 nucleotides in length. Their secondary structure includes four short double-helical elements and three loops (D, anti-codon, and T loops). Further hydrogen bonds mediate the characteristic L-shaped molecular structure. tRNAs have two regions of fundamental functional importance: the anti-codon, which is responsible for specific mRNA codon recognition, and the 3' end, to which the tRNAs corresponding amino acid is attached (by aminoacyl-tRNA synthetases). tRNAs cope with the degeneracy of the genetic code in two manners: having more than one tRNA (with a specific anti-codon) for a particular amino acid; and 'wobble' base-pairing, i.e. permitting non-standard base-pairing at the 3rd anti-codon position. RNAcentral also lists the same sequence under 2 other names. Lineage: Eukaryota; Metazoa; Chordata; Mammalia; Artiodactyla; Camelidae. The record is from Rfam by way of RNAcentral.
GAAGGGAUAGCUCAGUGGUAGAGUAAAUGCAUGCCUAUCAUGCAUGAGGUCUUGGGUUCAAUCCCCAGUCCCUCUA